ACUCCUACGGGAGGCAGCAGUGGGGAAUAUUGCACAAUGGGGGAAACCCUGAUGCAGCCAUGCCGCGUGUGUGAAGAAGGCCUUCGGGUUGUAAAGCACUUUCAGUAGGGAGGAAGGUAGUGUAGUUAACACCUGCACUAUUUGACGUUACCUACAGAAGAAGCACCGGCUAACUCCGUGCCAGCAGCCGCGGUAAUACGGAGGGUGCGAGCGUUAAUCGGAAUUACUGGGCGUAAAGCGCAUGCAGGCGGCCUGUUAAGUCAGAUGUGAAAGCCCGGGGCUUAACCUCGGAAUUGCAUUUGAAACUGGCAGGCUAGAGUCUUGUAGAGGGGGGUAGAAUUUCAGGUGUAGCGGUGAAAUGCGUAGAGAUCUGAAGGAAUACCAGUGGCGAAGGCGGCCCCCUGGACAAAGACUGACGCUCAGAUGCGAAAGCUGGGGGAGCAAACAGGAUUAGAUACCCUGGUAGGAUAGCG
Molecule: ribosomal RNA, 473 nt
Filed under: uncultured bacterium
Lineage: Bacteria
Description: bacterial SSU rRNA
Rfam family: Bacterial small subunit ribosomal RNA
Source: RNAcentral